This is a long non-coding RNA of Dermacentor andersoni, 316 nucleotides long. RefSeq lists it as uncharacterized. Lineage: Eukaryota; Metazoa; Arthropoda; Arachnida; Ixodida; Ixodidae. The record is from RefSeq and is a predicted model, not a curated record.
UGUAGCCCGUUUGUCGGGCUCCCGGCGUUUUAUUGCGUUCCGUCUGCAUUUAGACACGGCACCGCUGCACUACUGGACUACAGCAAGCACCCGAGACGCUAAGUGCUUGUUUGGAAGCAAAAAGGAACUAGUGACUACGAGGAAUCCUGUACGUGAGCAACAGAUGGCUGAAAGAUGUGGCAGACACCUUCCGAAGGGUGUGCAACUCCUGCGUACUGAGCCCCUGGAACAAUGCUCAUUUCGUUGCUUCACCGGCACCAAGUCAUACUUCGUGUUAAAUGAGCCUGACGGUAAACCCUGUAGCAAGACUAAUCCC